RNAcentral lists this transfer RNA (61 nucleotides) under Trichonephila inaurata madagascariensis. RNAcentral describes it as "tRNA-Val". The record is from RNAcentral. Lineage: Eukaryota; Metazoa; Arthropoda; Arachnida; Araneae; Nephilidae.
CAGUGUAGUGGUUAUCACGUUCGCUUCACACGCAAAAGGUUCUCGGUUCGAUCCCGACAGA